GCUAAAUCAUACAGCGUUUGGACCUCAGGCUGUUCGGAUUGUACCUCCUAGAUUCUAAUCUAAUUGCACCAACAAUGGCGGUUUCCAGAAAUCGAAGAAGUUUAGUGAAUAAGAGCUAAAACCAUAUAGCGUUUGCACCUCAGGCUGCUCCAAUUGUACCUCCUAAAUUCUAAACCGAUUGCACCAACAAUGGCGGUUUCCUGAAAUCUUACUCAAUUGCCCCAUGCUCAAUGGGGUCUCAAGGGAUUCUAAUUUUCUGCGAAUUCCCAAUUCCAGCUUCUCAUAAUCAUUUCCGCAGAUUCAUAGCUGACGGCGGCCGUAAAAAUUACAAGACGCGUCGGUGGCGGUUUUUUACCGGCGGCCGGAGCGGCGGCUCGCGGUGGGAUAGGGACGUGAACUCGAACCCCAAUCGACGGUCCAGAUUCAGCGACGCUUAUGCGACGGACGAGUUCGAUGAGGAGGAUGGAUUCGGGUUCAGAAACACCGUGAAGCAGAGGGUUUGGUGGUCCGAUGAUGAUGAUGAUGCAGGAGAUGAAGAAAAAGAUGGCUUUGGGAUUCUCGAAGCUUCGAUUGGAUUCGACUGGAUUUUUAAGAUACUUCGAGCCUUUGGAUGGAUGGUUCCAGCAGUUGUGAUCUCGUUUCUGAUGGGCACGGGCCCUGAUGCUAUCGUCAUGGCGUUGGCUCUUCCCCUUGCUCAGUCAGCAUUUGCUCUAGCUGCUGACACGCUGUGGGGGAGAGCCGAUGGAACCCCAAGGCCGAAGUCUAAGAGGAAGAAGAGGCCUUUCGCUGGAUCUCAAGCUCGUUCUAGAGCAAGAAAAGAAAAAGAAGCCCGAACUCAGAAGAGGAAGGAAGCUGGGAAUUACAAGUCAUGGUUCGAGGGCAAUAGUAAUUCUGCAAAGGAGAGUAGGAACCAUCAAGAUUUUGGAGGGUGGGACGAGCUAGAUAAUCCAGUGAGAGCGGACAAGGAUCCUCGUGUGACGCCUAUUAAGAAGGAUGAAGAGCCAGGAGCCAACGAGAGGUUUAAGAUAAGUAGGAGAACAAAGGGCGAUAGUCCAUUGCUCAUGAGACUCUUGAUUGCAAUGUUCCCAUUCUUGGGAUUUUGGACCAAGUUAUUCUGAUCCUGAGUUUGCGUACAAAAUUAUUCUACACGGAUGCUAAGGUCGCUUGACAUUUACACAGGUGAGGAUCCAGAACGAGGCCAGGCCCGGUGAGGAUCCAGAAGAUCGACACUGCCAGUGCCCUUAAAGAUGCUGAAUUCUUGAACAUGCCUGGAUCAGUGUUCCGGUGUCGGAGUCUCCCUCGGCUCGAUCCUCGUCAUCUUGAACUGUGGCAGAUUGGAGUGGUCUUCAUGGUCAUGGUAGAUGUAGGCUAAACCACCAUGCCUGGUGACAUCCAUUCCGGCCAUUUCAUCGUCGGCCGAAAUCCUCAGCAGCUUCAGCUUGUGGAGGGCCAAGAACAGCGGUGCCAUUGUCGCCGUAACCCACCCAAUGAUCACCAGGAUCUGGAUGAUCUGGGCAGCCAAGAGCUUCCCGCCACCUCCCAUGAGCAGCCCGUAUGGCCUAUCCGGUCUCCCCGGGUAAACCUCGUUCACGAAAGCUUGCUUGGCGAAUAGCCCGGUGAAUAGCAGGCCCCCACGCGCCGCAGCCACCAUGCAGCUGCGCCGCCUCCAACGGUCGUCGUACUUC
Salvia miltiorrhiza (redroot sage) is the source of this 1685-nucleotide RNA transcript. RefSeq lists it as uncharacterized. The transcript has 3 exons. Lineage: Eukaryota; Viridiplantae; Streptophyta; Magnoliopsida; Lamiales; Lamiaceae. The record is from RefSeq and is a predicted model, not a curated record.